AAAACAAAAAUGAGAAUCUGCAAUAAAAAAAGUGAUAUGUUAAUCGUAUAUGGACUUUGUUCAAAUAAAACUUUAGGGCUAUUAUCUGGCGCCAUUAAGUACAAAUGUCAUUAUCAAGCGUGAUUAAAUGUCCUUAUCAAGGGUGAGGGUGAUUACUAGAUCAUAUUGCCUGACCUGUUGUUUGAGAUCAUACCAUCUUGCAUUUUGGAACACUUUUUCUUGGGGACAUUUGAUCUGAAGAUUUAUCUGACGUUAAACUUGGAUCCUUAAUCAGUAGGAAAGAUUUAAAACUUAUAUGUUCAUUAUUCACAGUGCUGUUUGAGGAAUGGCAAUUGAGAGUUUCAUAGAGGAUAUAGUCUUGGCAUGACAGAGUGCAAGUGGUUUUAGAGUUUUGAAAUGUAACUAAACAGGUUGUGGGGCAUAGAGUUAGCAUUAAUAUUGAGCAAUGAAGUUGUGGUUGUAAUAAAUGG
This 470-nucleotide long non-coding RNA is filed under the name Phaseolus vulgaris (common bean). RNAcentral's name for it is "long non-coding RNA (PVUL_LNC005264)". The record is from RNAcentral. Lineage: Eukaryota; Viridiplantae; Streptophyta; Magnoliopsida; Fabales; Fabaceae.